GCUGGUGUAGCUCAGUUGGUAGAGCAACGGUUUCGUAAACCGUGGGUCAGCGGUUCAACUCCGCUCACCAGCUCCA
Molecule: transfer RNA, 76 nt
Filed under: Candidatus Wirthbacteria bacterium
Lineage: Bacteria; Candidatus Wirthbacteria
Description: tRNA-Thr
Rfam family: tRNA
About the family: Transfer RNA (tRNA) molecules are approximately 80 nucleotides in length.
Source: RNAcentral